Microcebus murinus (gray mouse lemur) is the source of this 2294-nucleotide non-coding RNA. The record is from RefSeq and is a predicted model, not a curated record. Lineage: Eukaryota; Metazoa; Chordata; Mammalia; Primates; Cheirogaleidae.
UCGGGAUCUGGGCCCUGGACCAGGCCCUGGGGAUCCUGACUCUGCCCCGCAGUGGUCUUCAUGUCGUGCACCUGGAGGACGUCGGGGGCGCUGCCGCUUAGGCCGCUUAAGGCCUGCUGGGCAAUGUCGUGCGAUGACAGGUUGAGCAUCAGUGAUUGCACCAUGAAUAAUGCAGAGAGGAAAGUACAAAGAUAGUGCCUGCCUCUGAUGGGCUUACUCCUCCCACCAACCAACAGGUAGGAUUGGUAGCUGAACUGUCCACUUUUUUAAAAGUUUCCUUUGAGGUCUGGGUUGAAACCUGGCCCCUCACCUGUAGCUGGGCUGCUGCUGUGAGCAUCUUCUGCCGAGUUUGCAGCACUGUGGAUGAAGACAUGGAGAAACUUCCCAGUGGCAAGUGCACUGAAGACAGUGAGCUCGGGGCAGCCAGCAUUGCGCAGGAUGAAACUGAAGACGAGUGCUGGAGGUUCGAGAAGAGAGCUGUGGGCUACAGGACUUGGAAAGGGAUUUGGGUGGUGAACCUGAAGAGUUAUUAUUAUAUGGUGGAAUGGGAGUGGAGCGUACUCUGGGAAGGAAAACAGAUACUAUUGGGAAAAUAGGUACUACGCCAAAAGGACAAUUUGAAAGAAUUGAGAAUAUGAUAAUGGGAGAAGAUAUUUUGUGUUGUAUGUAUAUUUAAGAAUUAAAAAAGAACAAAGGAAAGAAAAGAUGACUAUCAAAAGAAGGAAAUCCUGCUAUUUACAACAACAUGGAUGAACCUCUGGAGGAUAUUAUUCAAGAAAGCACUGGAGAUAUGGAGGUGAGAAGAGUGGGAAUGUAAAGUGAAGAGACCAAGAAUGAGAAGAGAGGAGGAAAGAAGAGUGUUGGACCAGUUCAGAAACUAGAAUGAGGGAAGCGGCGACGACCGAGUGAAAGACUGGGCACAGAACUUGGUCACCAAGGCAGAAAGCAGAAAAGACAAGAAGAUGGUUGACAUUUUUAUAAUUUGCAGACUUAUGAUGUGACCAUUCAUUCAGCUCUACUUUUAUGACUUUCAGCAACCUUUUCAUGCAAAAAUUGCAAAGGUAAGGAUGAUCUUAGCUACAGAAAGUUAUUUGCUGAAUGAUACCCCAAGUUGUUCUAGCCAGACUGUAGGUGACCUGGAAAUUGUCAGCUCUAUUCCAUGUUGUCCCCACAUGUGAGUAUACUCCUCAUUGUCUCCCCUGUCUCUUUUGGUCCUAGUCUGCCCACUGGGAUUAAGUUCAAUUGGUCAUAGUGUUAACUCACUUAAUAACACACCUUUUUGGCUGCCUUCCCUCCUGUGGUUCACCUCCUCACUCGCUUCCUCAUAUUUCCCAGAAUCAACUCCUAAUUAACGAUAUGUACUUUCACCCUGCCCUCAGGGACUGCUUCUGGGGAAAUCAUGACUAGUGUCAAAUAGAUUUCCAAAUAAAAUGUAAUAAAAUAUAAUUCUCAGCACCUAAAAGCAAAAAGCCCCACCAGUGGUGGUAACCUCCAGGUAGAGUCAUUCUUGGGAAGAGCAUGGGCUCUGGGGUCUGAGAGAUACUUGAAGUCUAGCUCUUCUAACUAUACCAUCUGGCCUCCAUCAAUCUCUGCCUUCCACCUACAUCAAAAUGGAAAUUGAAGUUGCACAAUAUUGUUAUGAUUAUUAGAUGAUGUAUUAAAUCUUGUAUUCAUUCAACAAAUAUUUAUUUCUCCAGGCAUAACAUACGUAAGGAACAUAGUUAAGUAAUUAGCAUAGACUGGUGUAUAGUAAAUGGAAACUAUGAUCAUUGCUGUACGCUGACAAAUGAGAGGCAGAACAAAAUUUGGAGAGCUUGUGACAACAGUGAUGUUUGGUAGUAUAAGGUCACUCAUCUGCUAGGGAGGAGUCCAUUACCUCUCCCUCUGCCUACGGACAUUAGGCACCAGGCUUCUCAUACUCUGUAUCAUGGGGUGAGGCUUUGAAGAUCAACAGACCCAGGUUCAAGUACCCAGUGAUUAGUUGUAUGACCUUGUUAACUUCUGAGUCUGUGUGUGGUAUGGUGAUCAUGAUACCUACCAAAAGGAUGUGGUGAGGAGUCAAUGAAAUAAUGGACAUAAGGACCAGGCUCCCAGCAAUGUUACUUAUUUUAAUCUCCCUUCUUGUAGAUCUCAUGGUUGCUGACUACUGAAUACAUUGGAUCAUAUUCUUCCGAAAUGAUAGUGUGUCACAUUCAAAGGUAUUUAGACAAGUUCGAUUGGAAGGCAUUGCUCUGUCCAAUUCUCCAAAAUUAACAGUAGUUAAAACAAUAUUGCUUUCUAAACAUUUAAUAUAG